GAUGAACGCUGGCGGCGUGCCUAAUACAUGCAAGUCGAGCGAACGGACGAGAAGCUUGCUUCUCUGAUGUUAGCGGCGGACGGGUGAGUAACACGUGGAUAACCUACCUAUAAGACUGGGAUAACUUCGGGAAACCGGAGCUAAUACCGGAUAAUAUUUUGAACCGCAUGGUUCAAAAGUGAAAGACGGUCUUGCUGUCACUUAUAGAUGGAUCCGCGCUGCAUUAGCUAGUUGGUAAGGUAACGGCUUACCAAGGCAACGAUGCAUAGCCGACCUGAGAGGGUGAUCGGCCACACUGGAACUGAGACACGGUCCAGACUCCUACGGGAGGCAGCAGUAGGGAAUCUUCCGCAAAGGGCGAAAGCCUGACGGAGCAACGCCGCGUGAGUGAUGAAGGUCUUCGAAUCGUAAAACUCUGUUAUUAGGGAAGAACAUAUGUGUAAGUAACUGUGCACAUCUUGACGGUACCUAAUCAGAAAGCCACGGCUAACUACGUG
RNAcentral lists this ribosomal RNA (497 nucleotides) under uncultured bacterium. Its description in RNAcentral is "partial 16S ribosomal RNA". It matches the Rfam family "Bacterial small subunit ribosomal RNA", at positions 28 to 507 of the family's 1533-position model. The record is from RNAcentral.